Molecule: ribosomal RNA, 1098 nt
Filed under: Enterococcus faecium
Lineage: Bacteria; Bacillati; Bacillota; Bacilli; Lactobacillales; Enterococcaceae
Description: bacterial SSU rRNA
Rfam family: Bacterial small subunit ribosomal RNA
Source: RNAcentral
GUGCUAUACUGCAAGUCGAACGCUUCUUUUUCCACCGGAGCUUGCUCCACCGGAAAAAGAAGAGUGGCGAACGGGUGAGUAACACGUGGGUAACCUGCCCAUCAGAAGGGGAUAACACUUGGAAACAGGUGCUAAUACCGUAUAACAAUCAAAACCGCAUGGUUUUGAUUUGAAAGGCGCUUUCGGGUGUCGCUGAUGGAUGGACCCGCGGUGCAUUAGCUAGUUGGUGAGGUAACGGCUCACCAAGGCCACGAUGCAUAGCCGACCUGAGAGGGUGAUCGGCCACAUUGGGACUGAGACACGGCCCAAACUCCUACGGGAGGCAGCAGUAGGGAAUCUUCGGCAAUGGACGAAAGUCUGACCGAGCAACGCCGCGUGAGUGAAGAAGGUUUUCGGAUCGUAAAACUCUGUUGUUAGAGAAGAACAAGGAUGAGAGUAACUGUUCAUCCCUUGACGGUAUCUAACCAGAAAGCCACGGCUAACUACGUGCCAGCAGCCGCGGUAAUACGUAGGUGGCAAGCGUUGUCCGGAUUUAUUGGGCGUAAAGCGAGCGCAGGCGGUUUCUUAAGUCUGAUGUGAAAGCCCCCGGCUCAACCGGGGAGGGUCAUUGGAAACUGGGAGACUUGAGUGCAGAAGAGGAGAGUGGAAUUCCAUGUGUAGCGGUGAAAUGCGUAGAUAUAUGGAGGAACACCAGUGGCGAAGGCGGCUCUCUGGUCUGUAACUGACGCUGAGGCUCGAAAGCGUGGGGAGCAAACAGGAUUAGAUACCCUGGUAGUCCACGCCGUAAACGAUGAGUGCUAAGUGUUGGAGGGUUUCCGCCCUUCAGUGCUGCAGCUAACGCAUUAAGCACUCCGCCUGGGGAGUACGACCGCAAGGUUGAAACUCAAAGGAAUUGACGGGGGCCCGCACAAGCGGUGGAGCAUGUGGUUUAAUUCGAAGCAACGCGAAGAACCUUACCAGGUCUUGACAUCCUUUGACCACUCUAGAGAUAGAGCUUCCCCCUUCGGGGGCAAAGUGACAGGUGGGUGCAUGGAUUGUCGUCAGCUCGUGUCGUGAGAUGGUUGGGUUUAAGUCCCGCAACGAAGCGCAUCAUUAUUG